CAGUAGCCGCGGUAACACGAAGGGUGCAAGCGUUAAUCGGAAUUACUGGGCGUAAAGCGUGCGUAGGCGGUUUGUUAAGUCUGUUGUGAAAUCCCCGGGCUCAACCUGGGAAUGGCAAUGGAUACUGGCAAGCUAGAGUGUGUCAGAGGAUGGUGGAAUUCCCGGUGUAGCGGUGAAAUGCGUAGAGAUCGGGAGGAACAUCAGUGGCGAAGGCGGCCAUCUGGGACAACACUGACGCUGAGGCACGAAAGCGUGGGGAGCAAACAGGAUUAGAUACCCCUGUAGUCCCUGUCUCUUAUAC
Molecule: ribosomal RNA, 301 nt
Filed under: uncultured bacterium
Lineage: Bacteria
Description: partial 16S ribosomal RNA
Rfam family: Bacterial small subunit ribosomal RNA
Source: RNAcentral